AUCCAGCUGACGAGUACCAAAUAGGACGAAACACGCUUGCUAGAU
Molecule: non-coding RNA, 45 nt
Filed under: Schistosoma haematobium
Lineage: Eukaryota; Metazoa; Platyhelminthes; Trematoda; Strigeidida; Schistosomatidae
Source: RNAcentral